GCACAGCGUGGAAAUAAUCUUAAAAAAAAAAACAAAAACAGAUCUAACUAUGGAUUCUAUCCUUUUCAUUCGUUUGGCCAGGAGAACUCUAACAAAGCAUGUUGCCUCUCCUGAAAGUGUGGAAUGGGCCAUUUGUGUGGUUUUUUCCUUCCCACUGU
This is a long non-coding RNA of Thalassophryne amazonica, 158 nucleotides long. RefSeq lists it as uncharacterized. The record is from RefSeq and is a predicted model, not a curated record. The transcript has 3 exons. Lineage: Eukaryota; Metazoa; Chordata; Actinopteri; Batrachoidiformes; Batrachoididae.